This 3857-nucleotide unclassified non-coding RNA is filed under the name Venturia canescens. RNAcentral describes it as "uncharacterized LOC122405720, transcript variant X2". The record is from RNAcentral. Lineage: Eukaryota; Metazoa; Arthropoda; Insecta; Hymenoptera; Ichneumonidae.
AUGGAGAAUUUUGCUUUGGCAGCCAUGGCGAAGAAAAAUCGGAAGCGGAAGCUCGAGGCCGAGGAAGAGACCGAGACAAAAUGGGAAUUAUCGAAUAUUUUGGAUGCGGAGCUCAGAGAAGAAAUGGCCACGAUGUGGGAGAUCCCACAAAUUUUUCACUUUUUGCACAUGUCCAAAGAGGCUCUGAAUAUUUCACAUUUGUCGAUGUACGAAAUGGAACGAAUGCUCGCUAUGCCGCGGGCCUCGAAGCAACUUGCGAUGAUAAUGACUGCUCUUCUGGGACCCCCUCGACCAAAAGGUAAAAUCAAAACUGUGCCUCCGAUGCCCUACGAUUUCUGGGUAAAUGUUCUGACGCACAAAGUUAAAGGAUGGUUCAAAGUUUAUCAGAGCAAACAUCAGGACAUUGUUAAGGUAUUUGAAGCGAUUGGAGUAGAGCCAGAAUUUUGGAAAUUGUUUCCAGAAGUUUCAAUUAUCGAUGAAAACGAAUUCGAUCAAUUGAGCUUCAAGCAGCGAGUCUGGAUCUUGAAAACUCUCUGUGACACGCUUAUGCAUUCCAGAAAAACAAUUCAGGAUGAAAUGGCGAAACAAAUGGUCGAAGACAGCUGCGAAGUCGUUUUAGGAUGCGACAGAUUUGGAGCAAAAUUCAUUUAUUUUCCACUUUUUCUCGACAAUGAUCUGAGGGUUUACAGGCAGUGUAUAGACAACACCAUUUUGUCGACAGUAAGGCAGCCUCCACCAUGGACGGAAUCACAGCCAUCAACAAGGCCGGAAAAAAAUGGUCGAGGAAAGAGGAAGCGAUCGAGAUGGAAAAACGGUUCAUUACCGCAAUACAGAAAGCGAACGAAGAGGGUGCAAGACGACGAUGUAAAGAUGAGUGGUGACAGUGCAUUGGGAUCGUCGUUGAACGAGGACACGAAUUUGAGCGGUGCAAGUUCGUGCAGCAAUAAUAAUAACAUUAUAGCGGAGUUAGAGGAGCGAAAUCGCUCAAGGAGUCCGUCAAAAGCGUCAGAAUUGGGUAGCAACGUUUCCGGAGACACAAGGUCGAGUAAAAAGUCCAGUGGGUACGACACGAAUACGUCAACGAGCGAUGGAAAGUCGUUUAACGAGGGUGAGUCGGAGGAAAUGUUUCGGGGAUUCGACAGUGAGAUAAAAAGCAAAAGUAGCACUGAUGCGAUCGGAAAUAUCCACGAAAUUCUCACUAGACUUACGAGCAAUGCGAGCGAAACUCCGAGCAACGAAAACUCGAUGGAAGAUCUUAAUACGGAAAUCGAGAGCAGGAGAAUCGACGUUAACGACGACGAGGACGAGGAGAAAAAAGACGAAGAUGCCUUAUCCUUAUGCGAGACUAAAUUUUCCGACGAUCCACGUCCAGAAUCCCGAGCUGAGAGCGAAGACUUGAACUGGAUCAAAUCUCAUUCAACGAGAAAUAAAUAUACCGAUCCUGAAAAUUUUCGGAAAGAACUUACCAUUUUUUCCACAAUGCUUACCGACUUGAGUGUCUCUACUUUCGAACUUGCCGCUGACAGCAUCGAUUCUCUGCGAGAUCUUGCCAAUACCCUCAAGAUACCCGACGAGUCUCGAAGAACUCACGUCGUACCUAGAUGCGAGCUCACUUUGGCUGGCGCUUUGCAAAAACUCGCUGAAUCUCUCAGUCCCAUCGAACCUAAGCUUCGGGAAUCCACGAGAAAAGCAAGAACGAAACUCAGGAAGGAAUUCACUAAUUUCAGAGACGGCAUAAUCAAGGAUCAGGACACGUCCGGUGACUCCGAUCGCGGCUCUAAUGGAUGGAUUAUUGGAUCGCAGGGCUGCCCACUGUUAUCCUCCAGCGAAACAGCAUUACAGGAGGUAUCGGACGCUCCCUUAUCCCCAGCUGGCACCAAAAGCGAAGGGGAAAGCGAGCCGAAAAAUAGUGACGAAGGAGACCGAGAUUCUGCUGAGCCGGAAGUCAACGAGGACGGAGAGAAUGACAAGGAGGAAAACUGCGACAAAGGAGAAGACGGAAUCAAAGAUGAAAACAAAGAAUCGGGCGAGAACGACGACGAACAAGAUUCCGAGCCUCAAACAAGAAGAGUAUUACGAGCCCGAGGAGUAUCAUCGUAUACGGAACAAUUGUCAUCAAGCGAGGAAGAAGCGUACGAGUUGGAAGAAUGGUCCUUGCUUGAGGCCUUCAAUUCGGCUCCCGGCACAUCGAACGGUGGAUCCGGUAUCAGCAUUGUUACAAAAGGAGGAGGCAUCGAUCACUCAGGGCAGAAGAACUCAGACAAAGAUUGGAUUUUACCUGGCGCUCGCAAACGGAAACAUAAAACUUCGCCAUUGAGUAAAAGAACAAAGACUUCUACGCCAAGGGUGUCGUUUACGACGGGCAAUUCGCAAGAUUCCGUUUCGAGUGUAUCGCCACCAAUGCCGCAAGGCUCGGGUGAAAAAUCCCGAACAAACGACAAAGGUUCAACGGACAAUUCCUUCAUAUGCAAAGUAGAGAGUGUACAUUCGGAGUUGGACAUAAAGGACGAAGGUCCGAUAUUCGAGUCAAAUCGAAACACCAAUCAACUGGGCGCGCAGCAAAACAGCUCAUCCUCGGACCAGCGUCAAACUGUUCGUGUUGCGAGCAAUCCACGGCCUGUGAGGCCGAUGGGAACUGUGGUACCACCGAGGUUAAUGCCACAACAAAUGCCACCCGGUUAUUACGUUCAACAACCGCAAACUUAUUUCGAUCCUCGUUAUAUGAGGUAUUCGUAUCCGCCACAAGCUCGAGGCAGUAUGGCGUACCCUUAUCAACAAGCUGGGCAUCCUCCACCCCCUCCUCCCCCCCCUUAUCCGGGUCAAGCUCAAUAUUGGCAACCGCCGAACUAUCCGGCAUUGCCCCCCGGAGCGUUUCCAGCUGGUAUUCGAGGAGGAUAUCCGGCACAACGUGGCGUUACGCAGCGUCAGCAAGGGCCUUCGACGACACUCUACGGAGCCAGAAUGCCGAGUCAAGGUCCGCAAAAUCGGAUGCCCGCUCCGAGGUCGACUUCGACGCAGAAUCCUAUGAUGCGUUUUCCUUGGCGUCCUCGACCUCCGCUCAAUCAAGCGCCACCCCCCCGACGCUACGCGCCUCGAUCGACACUUCCUCAGCGGAAUCCAACGCCGCGAGCCACCCGUCCGAAUCGCCCGGUCCCACGGCCACCGGGAGUUAAGAAACCAGCAGUUGAAAAAUCAACCUCGUUGAUACUUCUCAGCGACAGCGACGACGAGAUCGAAAUGAUCGUGCCUGAGAAACAAAGUGUCAGAACUCCCAUCGCCCAAACCCGCAAGACGCCUCAAACCAGCGACAAAACUCCGACGAGUACUCGACCUAAAUCCAGGCCUGUCGUCACCUCCCAAAUAACCGUUUCCAAAUCUAACGAACUUUUGUCACCUCAAAUGAUCCAGCGUAUGAGCCAAGGUGGUAUUUCCAUCACGCCCGUAAAACCCCCAGCUUCCAAACAAAAAACUCCUGAAACUGCCCAAGGCACUAAAUUGGUCGUCGUCGUUAACGAGACCGGAAGUCACUAUGCCUUGGCACUCCCGAACGGUAGUAAACUCAUUCUCACUCCCGAACAAGUCGCUCAGAUUAGAGCCUCCAACGGUGGCAAACUUGUUCUAUGAAACGACGCGAACCUCUGAGAAACGCCCAGUCAGUGAUCUCGGAUAUAUUUUAUUAUAACUUUCAUUACUCAAAGCUUCGGCAACGUCGAAGCAACUUCAUUUUUUUCCAAGUUUUUUUUCGCAUUCUUUGACCUCCGAUUUAGACUUGAUUCUGCUUUACGAAAGCCUUCCUCUCGCUGCCCACAAACUUGACCAAUCGAGUCCCGUUGAACGGAGAAUCGCUGCCGGGAGGA